CGAGCGCAACCUUAUCCUUAGUUGCCAGCACGUNAUGGUGGGACUCUAAGGAGACUGCCGGUGAUAAACCGGAGGAAGGUGGGGACGACGUCAAGUCAUCAUGGCCCUUACGGGAUGGGCUACACACGUGCUACAAUGGCAUACAGAGGGUU
RNAcentral lists this ribosomal RNA (152 nucleotides) under uncultured bacterium. Its description in RNAcentral is "partial 16S ribosomal RNA". It matches the Rfam family "Bacterial small subunit ribosomal RNA", at positions 1093 to 1248 of the family's 1533-position model. The record is from RNAcentral.